This 23-nucleotide small nuclear RNA is filed under the name Arabidopsis thaliana (thale cress). RNAcentral's name for it is "snRNA_08513". Lineage: Eukaryota; Viridiplantae; Streptophyta; Magnoliopsida; Brassicales; Brassicaceae. The record is from RNAcentral.
UUUGGUUGCAGAGAUUUUUGCAA